Molecule: ribosomal RNA, 209 nt
Filed under: Leuconostoc mesenteroides
Lineage: Bacteria; Bacillati; Bacillota; Bacilli; Lactobacillales; Lactobacillaceae
Description: partial 16S ribosomal RNA
Rfam family: Bacterial small subunit ribosomal RNA
Source: RNAcentral
UGGGAAGAACAGUUAGAAUAGGAAAUGAUUUUAGUUCGACGGUACCAUUCCAGAAAGGGAGGGCUAAAUAUGUGCCAGCAGCCGCGGUAAUACGUAUGUCCCGAGCGUUCUCCGGAUUUAUUGGGCGUAAAGCGAUGCGCAGACGGGUUUAUUAAGUCUGAUGUGAAAGCCCGGAGCUCAACUCCGGAAUGGCAUUGGAAACUGGUAAC